Molecule: ribosomal RNA, 710 nt
Filed under: uncultured bacterium
Lineage: Bacteria
Description: bacterial SSU rRNA
Rfam family: Bacterial small subunit ribosomal RNA
Source: RNAcentral
UCCACGCCGUAAACGAUGUCACUAGCCGUUGGGACUCUUGAAGUCUUAGUGGCGCAGCUAACGCACUAAGUUGACCGCCUGGGGAGUACGGCCGCAAGGUUAAAACUCAAAUGAAUUGACGGGGGCCCGCACAAGCGGUGGAGCAUGUGGUUUAAUUCGACGCAACGCGAAGAACCUUACCUGGCCUUGACAUCCAGAGAACUUUCCAGAGAUGGAUUGGUGCCUUCGGGAACUCUGAGACAGGUGCUGCAUGGCCGUCGUCAGCUCGUGUCGUGAGAUGUUGGGUUAAGUCCCGUAACGAGCGCAACCCCUAUCCUUGGUUGCUAGCAGGUAAUGCUGAGAACUCCAGGGAGACUGCCGGUGACAAACCGGAGGAAGAUGGGGAUGACGUCAGGUCAUCAUGGCCCUUACGGCCAGGGCUACACACGUGCUACAAUGGCGCGUACAGAGGGCUGCCAACUCGCGAGAGUGAGCCAAUCCCUUAAAACGCGUCGUAGUCCGGAUCGGAGUCUGCAACUCGACUCCGUGAAGUCGGAAUCGCUAGUAAUCGCGAAUCAGAAUGCCGCGGUGAAUACGUUCCCGGGCCUUGUACACACCGCCCGUCACACCAUGGGAGUGGACUGCACCAGAAGUAGUUAGUCUAACCUUCGGGAGGACGAUUACCACGGUGUGGUUCAUGACUGGGGUGAAGUCGUAACAAGGUAGCCGAG